RNAcentral lists this ribosomal RNA (462 nucleotides) under uncultured bacterium. RNAcentral's name for it is "partial 16S ribosomal RNA". It matches the Rfam family "Bacterial small subunit ribosomal RNA", at positions 28 to 506 of the family's 1533-position model. The record is from RNAcentral.
GAUGAACGCUGACAGAAUGCUUAACACAUGCAAGUCGAUGGGGAAGUGGUGCUUGCACCAUGGCAACCCUGGCGGACGGGUGAGUAACGCGUAAGGGACUUACCUGCAGGACUGGGAUAACAGGGGGAAACUCCUGACAAGACCGGAUAAUGUCAUGGAGCUGCAUGGCUUUAUGAUGAAAGGAGACGCCUGCGGAGAGCCUUGCGUCCUAUUAGCUAGUUGGUGAGGUAAUGGCUCACCAAGGCGAAGAUAGGUAGCCGGCCUGAGAGGGUGGACGGCCACAAGGGGACUGAGAUACGGCCCUUACUCUGAGGGGGGGCAGAAGGGGGGAAUAUUGGACAAAGGGGGCACCCCUAAACCAGCAUUUCUGUUGGAAAGAAGAGGGUUUUCGGAUGAAAAAGUGCUUUCCGCAGGGAAAAAGUAAGGGGCGGUACCUGCAAAAGAAGCGACGGCUAAAAACGU